This 253-nucleotide ribosomal RNA is filed under the name uncultured bacterium. Its description in RNAcentral is "partial 16S ribosomal RNA". It matches the Rfam family "Bacterial small subunit ribosomal RNA", at positions 524 to 776 of the family's 1533-position model. The record is from RNAcentral.
UACGUAGGGCGCAAGCGUUGUCCGGAAUUAUUGGGCGUAAAGAGCUCGUAGGCGGUUUGUCGCGUCUGCUGUGAAAACCUCAGGCUCAACCUGGGGCUUGCAGUGGGUACGGGCAGACUAGAGUGCGGUAGGGGUGACUGGAAUUCCUGGUGUAGCGGUGGAAUGCGCAGAUAUCAGGAGGAACACCGAUGGCGAAGGCAGGUCACUGGGCCGCAACUGACACUGAGGAGCGAAAGCAUGGGGAGCGAACAGG